UGGCUCGAGGACGAACGCUGGCGGCGUGCUUAACACAUGCAAGUCGAGCGGAAAGGCUCCUUCGGGGGUACUCGAGCGGCGAACGGGUGAGUAACACGUGAGUAAUCUGCCCUUGGCUUUGGGAUAAGCCCCGGAAACGGGGUCUAAUACCGGAUACGACGCACUCUCGCAUGGGAUGUGUGUGGAAAGUUUUUCGGCCAGGGAUGUGCUCGCGGCCUAUCAGCUUGUUGGUGGGGUAAUGGCCUACCAAGGCUUCGACGGGUAGCCGGCCUGAGAGGGUGACCGGCCACACUGGGACUGAGACACGGCCCAGACUCCUACGGGAGGCAGCAGUGGGGAAUAUUGGACAAUGGGCGGAAGCCUGAUCCAGCAACGCCGCGUGAGGGAUGACGGCCUUCGGGUUGUAAACCUCUUUCAGUACCGACGAAGCGCCGAUGAUGGUGGUGACGGUAGGUACAGAAGAAGCACCGGCCAACUACGUG
Molecule: ribosomal RNA, 482 nt
Filed under: uncultured bacterium
Lineage: Bacteria
Description: bacterial SSU rRNA
Rfam family: Bacterial small subunit ribosomal RNA
Source: RNAcentral